UAUUUAUAAUUUAUUAAUUAUUAUUAUAACACUCAAAUGAUGAUAUCGUGAAUAUUUAUAAUCCAAUAAUAUUUGACCUUUGAUCGUGGCAACUACAGUAAUAACUGUACUUAUUAUGAUGGGUUCUUUUUAGAUCAUACACCGGAACAUAUACACAUGAGUCAUAGUCCGUAGACGUAGAGUAUAUAAACAUUUUAAAAUAUUAUAUCCAAAGUUACAAAGUCAACUGCAAUUUAUUAAGGGCCUUUAAUAGUUCCGCAAUAUUGAACUUCAACACUCGGAUUACAAACAUUAAAAUGACCGCACUGAGAUGAGACUUUUUAUCGUUCUACUCACUAUAAUAUACUUGUAUAUUAUUUAUAAUAUUAUAGUACAGCAAUACAAUGAUGUCUUCUGAAAUAUGAGAUUUCCAUUCAAAUGAAACUAAAUAUUGUUAUAUUCGAC
Non-coding RNA from Cinara cedri, 444 nucleotides. Lineage: Eukaryota; Metazoa; Arthropoda; Insecta; Hemiptera; Aphididae. The record is from the annotation of a GenBank genome assembly.